Trichuris trichiura (human whipworm) is the source of this 73-nucleotide non-coding RNA. Lineage: Eukaryota; Metazoa; Nematoda; Enoplea; Trichinellida; Trichuridae. The record is from Rfam.
GCCUCAAUAACUCAGUAGGGAGAGCGUUAGACUGAAGAUCUAAAUGUCGCUGGUUCAAUCCCGGCUCGAGACA